This 143-nucleotide ribosomal RNA is filed under the name uncultured eukaryote. RNAcentral describes it as "partial small subunit ribosomal RNA". It matches the Rfam family "Eukaryotic small subunit ribosomal RNA", at positions 1297 to 1460 of the family's 1831-position model. The record is from RNAcentral.
GUUGGUGGAGUGAUUUGUCUGGUUAAUUCCGAUAACGAACGAGACCUUAACCUGCUAAAUAGGGGCGCGAAUCUUCGGGUUCGUCGCGCCUUCUUAGAGGGACUAACCAGGCUUACUGGUUGGAAGUUUGAGGCAAUAACAGG